AGAGUUUGAUCCUGGCUCAGGAUGAACGCUGACAGAAUGCUUAACACAUGCAAGUCGAUUCGAAAUUUCCUUCGGGGAAUGGAGGAUGGCGGACGGGUGAGUAACGCGUAAGGAACUUGCCUUUUGGACUGGGACAACUGUUGGAAACGACAGCUAAUACCGGAUAUUAUGAGAUCUUCGCAUGGAGAACUUAUGAAAGCUAUAUGCGCCAAAAGAGAGCCUUGCGUUCCAUUAGCUAGUUGGUGGGGUAAUGGCCCACCAAGGCGACGAUGGAUAGCCGGCCUGAGAGGGUGAACGGCCACAAGGGGACUGAGACACGGCCCUUACUCCUACGGGAGGCAGCAGUGGGGAAUAUUGGACAAUGGGCCACAAGCCUGAUCCAGCAAUUCUGUGUGCACGAUGACGGUCUUCGGAUUGUAAAGUGCUUUCAGUUGGGAAGAAGAAAGUGACGGUACCAACAGAAGAAGCGACGGCUAAAUACGUGCCAGCAGCCGCGGUAAUACGUAUGUCGCAAGCGUUAUCCGGAUUUAUUGGGCGUAAAGCGCGUCUAGGCGGGAAAGAAAGUCUGAUGUUAAAAUGCGGGGCUCAACUCCGUAUUGCGUUGGAAACUCCUUUUCUAGAGUAUCAGAGAGGUGGGCGGAACUACAAGUGUAGAGGUGAAAUUCGUAGAUAUUUGUAGGAAUGCCAAUGGAGAAGUCAGCUCACUGGAUGAAUACUGACGCUAAAGCGCGAAAGCGUGGGGAGCAAACAGGAUUAGAUACCCUGGUAGUCCACGCCGUAAACGAUGAUCACUAGGUGUUGUGGGUCGAACCUCAGCGCCCAAGCUAACGCGAUAAGUGAUCCGCCUGGGGAGUACGUACGCAAGUAUGAAACUCAAAGGAAUUGACGGGGACCCGCACAAGCGGUGGAGCAUGUGGUUUAA
Molecule: ribosomal RNA, 922 nt
Filed under: uncultured Cetobacterium sp.
Lineage: Bacteria; Fusobacteriati; Fusobacteriota; Fusobacteriia; Fusobacteriales; Fusobacteriaceae
Description: bacterial SSU rRNA
Rfam family: Bacterial small subunit ribosomal RNA
Source: RNAcentral